GCGGGUGUGGCGAAAUUGCCAGAUUUAGGUUCUGGUGUCUUCGGACGUGGGGGUUCAAGUCCCUUCACCCGCACCA
Molecule: transfer RNA, 76 nt
Filed under: Alphaproteobacteria bacterium
Lineage: Bacteria; Pseudomonadati; Pseudomonadota; Alphaproteobacteria
Description: tRNA-OTHER
Rfam family: tRNA
About the family: Transfer RNA (tRNA) molecules are approximately 80 nucleotides in length. Their secondary structure includes four short double-helical elements and three loops (D, anti-codon, and T loops). Further hydrogen bonds mediate the characteristic L-shaped molecular structure. tRNAs have two regions of fundamental functional importance: the anti-codon, which is responsible for specific mRNA codon recognition, and the 3' end, to which the tRNAs corresponding amino acid is attached (by aminoacyl-tRNA synthetases). tRNAs cope with the degeneracy of the genetic code in two manners: having more than one tRNA (with a specific anti-codon) for a particular amino acid; and 'wobble' base-pairing, i.e. permitting non-standard base-pairing at the 3rd anti-codon position.
Source: RNAcentral